GACGGAGGAGGCUAGCGUUGUUCGGAAUUACUGGGCGUAAAGCGCGCGCAGGCGGCUUAGCAAGUCAGGGGUGAAAGCCCGGGGCUCAACCUCGGAACUGCCUUUGAGACUGCUAGGCUCGAGACCGAGAGAGGAGAGUGGAAUUCCCAGUGUAGAGGUGAAAUUCGUAGAUAUUGGGAAGAACACCAGUGGCGAAGGCGGCUCUCUGGCUCGGUACUGACGCUGAGGCGCGAAAGCGUGGGGAGCAAAC
Molecule: ribosomal RNA, 250 nt
Filed under: uncultured bacterium
Lineage: Bacteria
Description: partial 16S ribosomal RNA
Rfam family: Bacterial small subunit ribosomal RNA
Source: RNAcentral